Molecule: long non-coding RNA, 2844 nt
Organism: Gopherus evgoodei (Goodes thornscrub tortoise)
Lineage: Eukaryota; Metazoa; Chordata; Testudines; Testudinidae
Exons: 6
Source: RefSeq, a predicted model, not a curated record
CCUUUUCAGCAACAUGUGAGAGAGAAUGAACACAAGUAAACUUUAGUGUCACCAUAGAGAAUAAGGUCAGUUAGAGGGAUGACCUUGCUGAAAAAGUGACAGAGGAGCCAGUCCUUGUGCAGCAAAGAAGAUGUGAGGAAGGAGACCAGACAACAAAAGGAGAUUUUGCAACAAUAAGAACAUAGUCAAGAUCAGGAGAGGGAAGGAGAAUGAAAUUGGUAGUAAAAAAAGAGCAAAUUCACAAGAAUAUCAGGUCCACAACAGACAGUGUCUGCAACCACCCUCAGAUACAGGAUCUGCAGCCUAUGCCAGGCCAAGAAGACAAGUUUCAUUGGGCAGUUAAGCACAUUAAUCAAGCAGAGGUUCUUCAUGGGACAGACAAGUGGCUUCUACAAAUAUUUAGACAUAUCCUGAUGGACACCUGCUUCAAUCUCUCAGAAGAAUCAUUCUAUCAGGAUGACCAGACAUGAAGAAUCAUAGAAGUGUAGGAUGGAAAGGGAUCUCGAGAUGCCAUCUGGUCUAAUACCCUGCACUUAAGACGUAGAUAAGGGGUGUCCGGGAUCCGGGAGAAGAUUGGUUGCUAAUUACACAGAACCUGGAAAGAGGGGACAGAAGGGAGACCAAAGAAUAAUGAGGUUUCAGUGAGUAAAGCUCCAGUGAUCACUUAUAGGAGGAAGAUCUGCUGCUGCUGCAAAGUUCUGAGUGGCCAUGAAUUGCAGCACAAUGACAAGCUGUAAAAACAUCAUGAGACAAGAGUCAUCUGACUUGUUAUUGUAUCCUUUUGUGUUAAAAGGAAGAAUGAAGAGCAUUCUCUGGGUAUGUCUACACUGCAAUGUAAGCUGGACUCAGACUCAGCCUCCAACCUAACACUCCUUCUGUCUAUUCACGUGACACUAACACAGGGCUCAGACCCAGGGCCCCAGAAGCCUGCGGGGCUGCAGGGUCUGAGCACAAGUCAAGUCUUAACCGAGGGUUCAAGCUCUAUUGCUUUGCAGUGCAGAAUAGCCUCGCUUGACCUGGACCUAGGAGUCCACCAAAAAGUAUCCCACAAUCCCGUGGGCCAACUUCCUUUGUCCUCUCUAUCCCAAGAAUCUUGAAUCUACUCUAUUGAAAACAGAAGCAACCACCCGUGGUGUACGGCAGCAACUCAGUUAGUUAGUGUUAACCCUUCCAUUGUCUUCUGACCACCGAGCUGCAAACACACCAUCAGAGAGCUUUCAGUGCUUGCAAUAAUGACUGAACAGAACAAGCCUUUUGGAAAGCAUACUGCUUUGUGGUCAUGGGAACAAAGCCUGAUUUUGGUAAAUCUCUGAUGCAAGGCCAGCAAAACUGUGGACUUAAGUAAGAAUACCAGGAAUGACUACGCAUAUUAGUAAAUAGUGAAGAAGUUGGCAGCUUUGCAAAUUUACCCAACCUGUGCCCAGUGCAAAGGAGUGGCUUAAAUAGUUCAAGAGUGAGUACCAGAAACUCAAGGAACAGAACCACACCUCAGGCCAAAAUCAUGAGUGUUAUGAGAAGUCUGGUUGCUGAGCACUGUGCUGAGGAUUGAGCCAACAGUGGUGCAUGAUGAUCUGGUCAGCCAGGAUGGGGCCCCACUGUCUUCAGAAUCCACCAUAGGGACUGAUGGGAACCUGCAGCAAUCUCCAAGUGGGGACAGUGAAGUCACUCUGUUGCUGAGACCUGUUCCAGAACAGACUUUGGAGCAGGAGCAGCAGCAAUACAUUCUGGGUCUGUGCUCAUAUGGGCUGAUGCACUCCACAAGGAGCAGACCGCGGCGGAGCCUGCAGCAGAUACACAUGGGACCGAAGCUGUUCCUAAGCCCCAGGAAGUUUCUGGCUCCAUUUUAAUGUUUGUUAAUACAGUAAUGUGGCCAAUGCAAAAGUUAUAAGAACCCCAGCUAGCAGCCUGUAUCUGCUAGUGGUGGAUUAUAUGCCAGCGGUAUGGCUCUUCCACCCAACCACUGCCACCACAUUGAGUUCAAAAUGCAAACCAGGACUUGCAAACGGCAAAGAACAACUUUAAAGUAUUUUUACUGGAAAGGCACAGAUUUUUGCUAGGCCAUUCCUAUUUCUUAAAAACAAUAACCUUACAUUGCCAUGCAAGUAAGUACGCCACUCUGUAACCAUUCUACAGUCUAUUGAGCUGCCUGGAAACAGUGAACUCUGUGAGUGUUUGGAGAAAUGUGUUCCAUUCACAAAUCUAGUCCAUUGUAGUCAGUGCAGUCCAUUGAUCACAAUUUCCCCCCCCCAAAUAUGACUGUGGUCUGAAAUUUUCUGGGGGUGGGGAGGAGGAAGGCUGUGAAUUUCUUCAUGUUUGCAUGUUGUCAUAACAGGCUAUGCCAUGUGGAAUCCAACAAAGCAUCCUGUUGAUUCCCUCAGGAAUUCUGACCCAUUCCUGGGUGCUGAUAGCUGUAAAGUUUUCCUGAAGCAGGAACUCCGGUUAGGUAGUCAUAUUUCAGGGAAGGGCGUAUUUUCCAGGGCCACCUCAGUAGCUGACCAAUCCACACCACUCAUAAAUUUGCUGUUCAGUUACUAUACAUUUUAAUACUUCUGUUGCAUAAACUGCAGGUUUCCCACCAAUAGCUUGGAAUAACACCUCCUUUGCCAAUCAGGCACCACAAGAACUGUUAUGUCCUCCAAAAUUGGAAAGGCCUGAAAUUGUAGAAAAAUCUUUUGUAGCACAGCCAGCCUUCCACUCCGACCUGCCCCAAAACCAAGUUGUUUUGCAGUUUUCUAACAUCAAAAAAAUCAGCUUUCCAUUUUUAAUUCUCCAUUGUGCCUGUAAUUCUUUCACUAAAAGAACAAGGAGUACUUGUGACACCUUAGAGACUAAGUAUCAGAGGGG